RNAcentral lists this ribosomal RNA (405 nucleotides) under uncultured bacterium. RNAcentral describes it as "bacterial SSU rRNA". It matches the Rfam family "Bacterial small subunit ribosomal RNA", at positions 355 to 776 of the family's 1533-position model. The record is from RNAcentral.
UGGGGAAUAUUGCACAAUGGGGGAAACCCUGAUGCAGCAACGCCGCGUGAGUGAAGAAGUAUUUCGGUAUGUAAAGCUCUAUCAGCAGGGAAGAAGAGAGACGGUACCUGACUAAGAAGCCCCGGCUAACUACGUGCCAGCAGCCGCGGUAAUACGUAGGGGGCAAGCGUUAUCCGGAUUUACUGGGUGUAAAGGGAGCGUAGACGGUUGCAUAAGUCUGAAGUGAAAGGCCAAGGCUUAACCAUGGAACUGCUUUGGAAACUAUGAGGCUAGAGUGCUGGAGAGGUAAGCGGAAUUCCUAGUGUAGCGGUGAAAUGCGUAGAUAUUAGGAGGAACACCAGUGGCGAAGGCGGCUUACUGGACAGAAACUGACGUUGAGGCUCGAAAGCGUGGGGAGCAAACAGG